This 253-nucleotide ribosomal RNA is filed under the name uncultured bacterium. RNAcentral's name for it is "partial 16S ribosomal RNA". It matches the Rfam family "Bacterial small subunit ribosomal RNA", at positions 524 to 776 of the family's 1533-position model. The record is from RNAcentral.
UACGUAGGGGGCUAGCGUUGUCCGGAUUUAUUGGGCGUAAAGAGCGUGUAGGCGGCCAGAUAGGUCUGCUGUGAAAACUCGAGGCUCAACCUCGAGACGUCGGUGGAAACCGUUUGGCUAGAGUCCGGAAGAGGAGAGUGGAAUUCCCGGUGUAGCGGUGAAAUGCGCAGAUAUCAGGAGGAACACCGGUGGCGAAGGCGGGUCUCUGGGCCGGAACUGACGCUAAGGAGCGAAAGCGUGGGGAGCGAACAGG